GGCGCCUCCGGCACGGACGCGUCCGCUUCCGGCCCAGCCGGGCCCAGCGCCCGUUCCAGCGCUGCCGCCAUUCGGCCGUGGCCAAUCUCUGCCUCCGUUCCGCGGGGAGCGGCCAAUGGGAGCUCGGAGCCCCUCAGCCAAUCGGGGAGCGGCUUCCCUCAGCGCUGCUCCCGCCCACCGCGCGCCUCAACCAAUCGGAGGGGAGAGUCCCGCGGAGCCGCUCCCGCCCGCCGUGCUCUCCUCAGCCAAUCGGAGAGGAGCAUCUCUCAGCCCACGGCGCGCGCCUCAGCCAACCAGAAGAGGCUCCCUCCCGCUCCCGCCCACCGCGCGCGUCUCAGCCAAUCGGAGGGCACGAAAAGGAGGGCGGGAUGCCCGUCCCGCGCGCCGUCCCCCUCCUCGCUUUUCAUUGGCCGCUCCAGCCGCCAAUCCAGCACCGCCCCGUCUCCCGACGCGCUUCAAAGCCCCGCCCCUUCCCGCUCCGCUCAGCCAAUAGGGAGGCGGUACCCGGCAGGGGGGGGCGUGCCCGGAGCUGUCAGUCACUCCCCGCUGCCUGGCAACGCGUUGCUUGGCGACGGCGGGCUGUUGCCGGGCAACGGGGCGAGUUGGGCGCGGCUCCGCGCAUGCGCAGACGAGACGGGACGCACGAUGUGCACCAGGAGGCGCAGGGAUGGAUGAUGCACAGGGAUGCAUGAGGCUGCAGGGCUUGCACGAGGAUGCACGAGGGUGCACGAGGAGGCGCCGGGUUGCACGACAAUGCACGGGUGUGAGCACACGAGGAUGCACCGGAGAGCAUAAGAAUGCAUGGGGUUGGGGGGCAUGAGGGAUGUGCAGCGUUGCACGGGGAUUCACAGGGAUGGAUGCACGGGGGGGCUGCGGGAUGCAAGAGGGGUGCACGAGGAUGCACGGCGGUGCACGAGGAUGCAUGCACGGGAUGCACGAGGGUGCACAGUGUUGCACAGCGUCGCACGAGGAUGCACGGUGUCGCACGAGGAUGCACGGGGUUGCACAAGGAUGCACGGUGUUGCAUGAGGGUGCAUGCACGAGGUUGCACAGUGAUGCACGGUGUUGCACGAGGGAGCACGGGGUUGCACGAGGAUGCACAGUGUUGCAUGAGGGUGCAUGCACGAGGUUGCACAGUGUUGCACAGCAUCACACAAGGAUGCACGGGGUUGCACAAGGAUGCACGGGGGUGCACGCGCGUGCACAGCAUUGCACGAUGCAUGAGGAUGGAUGCACAGUGACGCAUGGUGGCUCAUGGUCAGGGUGCAAAAUGGUGCACGAGGGUGCCCGGGGUUACACGAGGAUGCACGAGGGUGCGUGGGGAUGCACGUGGAGGAUGCACUUGGUGCACAACGGUGCACGCGGACGGACGCACGAGGGUGCAGAGGGCGGCACAAGGAUGCAAGGGGGUGCACAAGAUUGGAUGCACGGGGAUGCACGAGGAUGGAUGCAUGAGGCGGCACGAGGAUGCACGGGGAUGUGCAAGGAUGCUCAGAGUUGCACGAGGUUGCACGGGGAGGCACGGGGAUGCACAAGUGUGCAGAGGACACACGGGGACACGUGUGGGCAGCCGAAGUCGCCCAGCCCGGUGCACACGGUUGCACGAGGCCGCGUGCCAUUGCACCAGGAUGCACGAGGAUGCAUGGCGAGGCACGGCGUGGCACGGGGAGGCACGAGGCUGCACGGGGAUACAAGGGCGUGCACGGGGGUGGGUGCACGAGGGUGCAAGAGGUUGCACGAGGGCGCAGAGCACACACGGGGACGGCUGCAGAGGGACACCCGAGGACGCCCAAAGCUUCACGGGGACGCCCGCGGGCUCACGAGGAUGCACGGCCCCGUGCACGGGGAUGCACGAGGAUGCACGAGAGGAUGCACGAGGAGGCCGGCUCGGGGCGUCCCCUCGGCUACGCGUAUUCUCCAGCAAUAACAGCGCGGCCGUGUUAUCCGCCCGAGAAUACCCGUCACCGCGGGGCGCGGGGGGGGCAUCCGGGGGGGGGGGGGUGGGGGGGGAUUGAGGGGGGAAAGGGGGGAGGGGAGGGGAGGAGGAGGAGGGGGGAUUCGAACCCGCGGACGGGGGAAGCCCUGGGCGGGGCCUCGAGAGCCGCCGGGUGGGGAUUCAGCACCACGGACAGCGGCAAUGCUGCUCUAAUGGGGGCUGUGGGGGUUCUAUAGGGAUCUAUAGGGGUCUAUGGGGGACCAUAGGGGUUCUAUGAGGUCUAUGGGGGCUCUAUGGGGGACUAGAGGGGUUCUAUAGGGGUCUUUGUGUCUCAGCAGCAUGGACAGUGGCAAUGGGGCUGUAAAGUGGGCUGUGGGGGUUCUAUAGGGAUCUAUAGGGGUCUAUGGGGGACCAUAGGGGUUCUAUGAGGUCUAUGGGGGCUCUAUGGGGGACUAUAGGGGUUAUAUGGGGGUCUAUGGGGCUCAGCACCACGAACAGUGGCAAUGGGGCUCUAAUGGGGGCUGUGGGGGUUCUAUAGGGAUCUGUAGGGGUCUAUGGGGGACCGUAGGGGUUCUAUGAGGUCUAUGGGGGCUCUAUGGGGGACUAUAGGGGUUCUAUAGGGGUCUAUGGGGCUCAGCACCACGAACAGUGGCAAUGGGGCUCUAAUGGGGGCUGUGGGGGUUCUAUAGGGAUCUAUAGGGGUCUAUGGGGGACUAUAGGGGUUCUAUGGGGACUAUAGGGGUUCUAUGGGGGUCUAUGGGGGUUCUAUUGGGGACUAUAGGGGUACUACAGGGAUCUGUGGGGCUUAACACCGCGGGCAGCGGCAAUGGGGCUCUAUAGGGGUUCUAUAGGGGUCUAUGGGGGUUCUAUUGGGGACUAUAGGGGUUCUAUAGGGUUCUAUGUGGGUUCUAUGGUGGAUCAGCACCACGGACAGCGGCAAUGGGGCUCUAUAGGGGUCUGUGGGGGUUCUAUGAGGGACUAUAGGGGUUCUAUAGGGUUCUAUGGGGGUUCUAUGGUGGAUCAGCAUCACGGACAGCGGCAAUGGGGCGCUAUAGGGGUUCUAUAGGGGUCUGUGGGGUCUCAGCACCACCGACAGUGGCAGUAGGGUUCUAUAGGGGUCUAUAGGCUGUCUAUAGGGGCUCGGCAAGACGGACAGCGGCAAUGGGGCUCUAUAGGGGUUCUAUAGGGGUCUAUGGGGGUUCUAUUGGGGACUAUAGGGGUUCUAUAGGGGUCUAUGGGGGUUCUAUGGUGGAUUAGCAUCACGGACAGCGGCAAUGGGGCGCUAUAGGGGUUCUAUAUGGGUCUAUGGGGCAAUGCGGUUCGGUGGAGAACUAUGGGAAUUCUAUGGGGUUUGGCAACAGGGACAGCGGCAGCGGCACUCUAUGGGGGUCGUAUGGGGUCUAUGGGGGUUCUAUAGGGAUCUAUUGGGGUUCUAUAGGGGUCCGGAAGCACGGAGAGCAGCUGGAGGGGGCAAUGGGAUUGUAUGGGGCCUAGGGGGGAUUCUAUGGGAGCUCUAUAGGCGGUGCUAUAGGGGUUGUAUGGGGGGGGGACAAUGGGAGCUCUGUAGGGGGUUCUAUAGGUUCUAUAUGGGGCUUUGGCACCCAGGAUAGCAGCUGUGGGGGGUCAAUGGGGCUCGGGGGGGGGGGGGGUCCUGUAGGACGGUCCUCCAGGGGCUGUAUGGGGUUCUAUAAGGGGUUCUAUGAAGCCUAUGGGGGUUCUAUGGGGGGGCUCUAUAUAGGGCCCUCUACAUAGGGGCUCCACGGGGUUCCAUAGGGGCCCUAUAGGGCUCUAUGGGGAUGGGGGGGGAUGUAUAUAGGGCCCUCUACAUAGGGGCUCCAUGGGGGCUCUAUAGGGGCCCUAUGGGGCUCAAUGGGGGGGAGGAUCUAUAUAGGGCCCACAUAGGGGCUCCAUGGGGGCUCUAUAGGGGCCCUAUAGGGCUCAAUGGGGGGUGGAGGGGCUCUAUAUAGGGCCCACUACAUAGGGGCUUCAUGGGGUUCCAUAGGGGCCCUAUAGGGCUCUAUGGGGAUGGGGGGGGCUAUAUAUAGGGCCCUCUACAUAGGGGCUCCAUGGGGGCUCUAUAGGGGCCCUAUAGGGCUCAAUGGGGGGUGGAGGGGCUCUAUAUAGGGCCCACUACAUAGGCGCUUCAUGGGGUUCCAUAGGGGCCCUAUAGGGCUCAAUGGGGGGGAGGGGGGGGGCUUUAUAUAGGGCCCUCUACAUAGGGGCUCCAUGGGGGCUCUAUAGGGGCCCUAUAGGGCUCUAUGGGGGGGGGAGGAUCUAUAUAGGGCCCACAUAGGGGCUCCACGGGGUUCCAUAGGGGCCCUACAGAGAGCUCAGCGAUGCCUAUGGGGAUGGACACAGGGCCCAUAUAGGGCCUCAGUGAGCUUCUAUGGGGGCUCUCUAUGGGGCGCCGAUCGGGGCCUCUAUAGGGACUCUAUAGGGCCCAUAUAGGGCCUCCACGAGCUUCUACGGGGGCUCUCUAUGGGACGCCAACCGGGGGCUCUAUAGGGACUCUAUAGGGCCCUCCAGCACCGCCGCACGGCCCCACCCCCCCCAACCCCCCCCCAAACCCCCCCCCCCCAACCCGUCCGUCCCCACCGGGGGGGGUCGUGGGGGGGUCGUGGGGGGGUCCCGGCCCAGCGCU
This 4577-nucleotide long non-coding RNA is filed under the name Gallus gallus (chicken). RNAcentral's name for it is "lncRNA (ENSGALG00010029059.1)". The record is from RNAcentral. Lineage: Eukaryota; Metazoa; Chordata; Aves; Galliformes; Phasianidae.